This 269-nucleotide ribosomal RNA is filed under the name uncultured prokaryote. RNAcentral describes it as "partial 16S ribosomal RNA". It matches the Rfam family "Bacterial small subunit ribosomal RNA", at positions 524 to 792 of the family's 1533-position model. The record is from RNAcentral.
UACGGAGGGUGCAAGCGUUGUCCGGAUUUACUGGGUGUAAAGGGCGUGUAGGCGGAGCGGCAUGUCGGAAGUGAAAUCGUACGGCUUAACUGUGCAAAUGCUUCCGAAACUGUCGCCCUUGAAUGCGAGAGGGGCAGAUGGAAUUCCAGGUGUAGCGGUGGAAUGCGUAGAUAUCUGGAAGAACACCAGUGGCGAAGGCGGUCUGCUGGCUCGUGAUUGACGCUGAGGCGCGAAAGUGUGGGUAGCGAACAGGAUUAGAUACCCCUGUA